AACGAACGCUGGCGGCGGGCCUCAUACAUGCAAGUCGAGCGCGAAAGUCCGCAAGGAUGAGUAAAGCGGCGCACGGGUGAGUAACACGUGGGUAAUCUACCUUUUGGAUUGGAAUAACCUGUCGAAAGACGGGCUAAUGCCAAGUAAGUUCUUUGGAACGUGGAGUUUUGAAGAAGAAAGAUGGCGCAAGCUAUCGCCGAAAGAUGAGCCUGCGUCCCAUUAGUUAGUUGGUGGGGUAAUGGCUUACCAAGACAAUGAUGGGUACCUGGUCUGAGAGGAUGACCAGGCACACUGGAACUGAAACACGGUCCAGACUCCUACGGGAGGCAGCAGUAGGGGAAUAUUGCGCAAUGGACGAAAGUCUGACGCAGCCACGCCGCGUGAGUGAGGAAGGCCUCGGUGUAAGCUCUUCUACCCACGACGAUGAUGACGGUAGUGGGAGAAGAAGACCCCGGCCGUAACCUUACGUGCCAGCAGCCGCGGUAAU
RNAcentral lists this ribosomal RNA (487 nucleotides) under uncultured bacterium. Its description in RNAcentral is "bacterial SSU rRNA". It matches the Rfam family "Bacterial small subunit ribosomal RNA", at positions 29 to 524 of the family's 1533-position model. The record is from RNAcentral.